RNAcentral lists this ribosomal RNA (464 nucleotides) under uncultured bacterium. RNAcentral describes it as "bacterial SSU rRNA". It matches the Rfam family "Bacterial small subunit ribosomal RNA", at positions 338 to 795 of the family's 1533-position model. The record is from RNAcentral.
CCUACGGGAGGCACCAGUAGGGAAUCUUCGGCAAUGGACGAAAGUCUGACCGAGCAACGCCGCGUGAGUGAAGAAGAUUUUCGGAUCGUAAAACUCUGUUGUUAGAGAAGAACAAGUAGGAGAGUAACUGCUCUUACCUUGACGGUAUCUAACCAGAAAGCCACGGCUAACUACGUGCCAGCAGCCGCGGUAAUACGUAGGUGGCAAGCGUUGUCCGGAUCUAUUGGGCGUAAAGCAAGCGCAGGCGGUCUUUUAAGUCUGAUGUGAAAGCCCUCGGCUCAACCGAGGAAGGUCAUUGGAAACUGGAGGACUUGAGUGCAGAAGAGGAGAGUGGAAUCCAUGUGUAGCGGUGAAAUGCGUAGAUAUAUGGAGGAACACCAGUGGGGAAGGCGACUCUCUGGUCUGUAACUGACGCUGAGGCUCGAAAGCGUGGGGAGCGAACAGGAUUAGAUACCCCAGUAGUC